GACGAACGCUGGCGGCGUGCUUAACACAUGCAAGUCGAACGAUGAACCCGGAGCUUGCUCCGGCGGAUUAGUGGCGAACGGGUGAGUAACACGUGAGUAACCUGCCCUUGACUCUGGGAUAACUGCUAGAAAUGGUAGCUAAUACCGGAUACGACCCUCGGCGGCAUCGCCAGGGGGUGGAAAGAAUUUCGGUCAAGGAUGGACUCGCGGCCUAUCAGCUAGUUGGUGAGGUAACGGCUCACCAAGGCGACGACGGGUAGCCGGCCGGAGAGGGUGACCGGCCACACUGGGACUGAGACACGGCCCAGACUCCUACGUGAGGCAGCAGUGGGGAAUAUUGCACAAGGGGCGCAAGCCUGAUUCAGCAACGCCGCGUGAGGGAUGACGGCCUUCGGGUUGUAAACCUCUUUUAGUAGGGAAGAAGCGAAAGUGACGGUACCUGCAGAAAAAGCACCGGCUAACUACGUGCCAGCCGCCGCCGUAA
This 484-nucleotide ribosomal RNA is filed under the name uncultured bacterium. RNAcentral's name for it is "partial 16S ribosomal RNA". It matches the Rfam family "Bacterial small subunit ribosomal RNA", at positions 28 to 523 of the family's 1533-position model. The record is from RNAcentral.